RNAcentral lists this ribosomal RNA (458 nucleotides) under Lactococcus lactis. RNAcentral describes it as "bacterial SSU rRNA". It matches the Rfam family "Bacterial small subunit ribosomal RNA", at positions 28 to 471 of the family's 1533-position model. The record is from RNAcentral. Lineage: Bacteria; Bacillati; Bacillota; Bacilli; Lactobacillales; Streptococcaceae.
GACGAACGCUGGCGGCGUGCCUAAUACAUGCAAGUUGAGCGCUGAAGGUUGGUACUUGUACCAACUGGAUGAGCAGCGAACGGGUGAGUAACGCGUGGGGAAUCUGCCUUUGAGCGGGGGACAACAUUUGGAAACGAAUGCUAAUACCGCAUAAAAACUUUAAACACAAGUUUUAAGUUUGAAAGAUGCAAUUGCAUCACUCAAAGAUGAUCCCGCGUUGUAUUAGCUAGUUGGUGAGGUAAAGGCUCACCAAGGCGAUGAUACAUAGCCGACCUGAGAGGGUGAUCGGCCACAUUGGGACUGAGACACGGCCCAAACUCCUACGGGAGGCAGCAGUAGGGAAUCUUCGGCAAUGGACGAAAGUCUGACCGAGCAACGCCGCGUGAGUGAAGAAGGUUUUCGGAUCGUAAAACUCUGUUGGUAGAGAAGAACGUUGGUGAGAGUGGAAAGCUCAUCAA